UAGUUCAGUUGGUUAGAAUACCGGCCUGUCACGCCGGGGGUCGCGGGUUCGAGUCCCGUCCACUCCGCCA
RNAcentral lists this transfer RNA (70 nucleotides) under Photobacterium phosphoreum. Its description in RNAcentral is "tRNA-Asp". It matches the Rfam family "tRNA". From Rfam's summary of the family: Transfer RNA (tRNA) molecules are approximately 80 nucleotides in length. Their secondary structure includes four short double-helical elements and three loops (D, anti-codon, and T loops). Further hydrogen bonds mediate the characteristic L-shaped molecular structure. tRNAs have two regions of fundamental functional importance: the anti-codon, which is responsible for specific mRNA codon recognition, and the 3' end, to which the tRNAs corresponding amino acid is attached (by aminoacyl-tRNA synthetases). tRNAs cope with the degeneracy of the genetic code in two manners: having more than one tRNA (with a specific anti-codon) for a particular amino acid; and 'wobble' base-pairing, i.e. permitting non-standard base-pairing at the 3rd anti-codon position. The record is from RNAcentral. Lineage: Bacteria; Pseudomonadati; Pseudomonadota; Gammaproteobacteria; Vibrionales; Vibrionaceae. RNAcentral also lists the same sequence under 3 other names.